GGGUCAGUAGGUUGGUCGUGCCACCGGUACGUACUGGUCUCACUGAUUCCUCCUUCCUGAAGAACCGUAAUGCCAUUAAUUUGGUGUUGCGGGGAAACAGGACUGUUACUUUGAAAAAAUUAGAGUGUUUAAAGCAAGCUAACGCUUGAAUACAUUAGCAUGGAAUAAUGAAACAGGACGAUCGAUCCUAUUUUGCUGGUUUCUAGGAUUGACGCA
Molecule: ribosomal RNA, 216 nt
Filed under: Glomeromycotina sp.
Lineage: Eukaryota; Fungi; Glomeromycota
Description: partial small subunit ribosomal RNA
Rfam family: Eukaryotic small subunit ribosomal RNA (bases 44-216)
Source: RNAcentral